UACAGGGGGUGCAAACGUUGCUCGGAAUCAUUGGGCGUAAAGCGCACGUAGGCGGUGAAUCGGGUUGAAAGUGAAAGUCGCCAAAAAGUGGCGGAAUGCUCUCGAAACCAAUUCACUUGAGUGAGACAGAGGAGAGUGGAAUUUCGUGUGUAGGGGUGAAAUCCGUAGAUCUACGAAGGAACGCCAAAAGCGAAGGCAGCUCUCUGGGUCCCUACCGACGCUGGGGUGCGAAAGCAUGGGGAGCGAACAGG
Molecule: ribosomal RNA, 251 nt
Filed under: uncultured bacterium
Lineage: Bacteria
Description: partial 16S ribosomal RNA
Rfam family: Bacterial small subunit ribosomal RNA
Source: RNAcentral